Molecule: ribosomal RNA, 524 nt
Filed under: uncultured bacterium
Lineage: Bacteria
Description: partial 16S ribosomal RNA
Rfam family: Bacterial small subunit ribosomal RNA
Source: RNAcentral
UGGGGAAUAUUGCACAAUGGGCGAAAGCCUGAUGCAGCAACGCCGCGUGAGUGAUGAAGGCCUUCGGGUUGUAAAGCUCUGUCUUUUGGGACGAUAAUGACGGUACCAAAGGAGGAAGCCACGGCUAACUACGUGCCAGCAGCCGCGGUAAUACGUAGGUGGCAAGCGUUGUCCGGAUUUACUGGGCGUAAAGGAUGCGUAGGCGGAUUUUUAAGUGAGAUGUGAAAUACCCGGGCUUAACUUGGGUGCUGCAUUUCAAACUGGGAAUCUAGAGUGCGGGAGAGGAGAAUGGAAUUCCUAGUGUAGCGGUGAAAUGCGUAGAGAUUAGGAAGAACACCAGUGGCGAAGGCGAUUCUCUGGACCGUAACUGACGCUGGGGCAUGAAAGCGUGGGUAGCAAACAGGAUUAGAUACCCUGGUAGUCCACGCCGUAAACGAUGAGUACUAGGUGUAGGAGGUAUCGACCCCUUCUGUGCCGCAGUUAACACAAUAAGUACUCCGCCUGGGAAGUACGAUCGCAAGAUU